UACGGAGGGUGCAAGCGUUAUCCGGAUUCACUGGGUUUAAAGGGUGCGUAGGUGGGCAGGUAAGUCAGUGGUGAAAUCUCCGGGCUUAACUCGGAAACUGCCGUUGAUACUAUCUAUCUUGAAUAUCGUGGAGGUAAGCGGAAUAUGUCAUGUAGCGGUGAAAUGCUUAGAUAUGACAUAGAACACCCAUUGCGAAGGCAGCUUACUACACGAUCAUUGACACUGAGGCACGAAAGCGUGGGGAGCAAACAGG
This 253-nucleotide ribosomal RNA is filed under the name uncultured bacterium. Its description in RNAcentral is "partial 16S ribosomal RNA". It matches the Rfam family "Bacterial small subunit ribosomal RNA", at positions 524 to 776 of the family's 1533-position model. The record is from RNAcentral.